Molecule: long non-coding RNA, 422 nt
Filed under: Monodelphis domestica (gray short-tailed opossum)
Lineage: Eukaryota; Metazoa; Chordata; Mammalia; Didelphimorphia; Didelphidae
Description: lncRNA (ENSMODG00000044403.1)
Source: RNAcentral
GCCACGGAGGGUUCAAGUCCUGAGAUCAAGUCUUUUGUUUCCCUAGUGUCAAUCCCAGUUGCUGCUCACUGUAGGCCCUGGUUCUCCUGCUGCACCCGCCAAUGCCAGCGUUUCUCUGAGCACUCGCUGUGUCCUCACCUUGGAACUCUUUGUGGCAGGAAGAAAUAGCUGCAGCUGGAGUGAGUCCUAUGGAGAACAUGGUUGGUAUUCAGUGUUUGUCCAGCCGGGGCCUCUGGGACAGAAUGAGAGUGGAUUGCAUUGUACCUUCCAAAAGGACCGAGACCCUCAGAAUGGCUAUAUCCCUCUCGUGGUGGCUGUGACUCUCUUUGUGGCUGUGAUCCUGCUUUAUUUUCUGGGACUAUAUGUGUCAAAGUAAGUUGAAUUGGUUUCUCUUUCCCUUUCCUCUUAGAGAUGUGCAGUGA